Molecule: unclassified non-coding RNA, 896 nt
Filed under: Hevea brasiliensis (rubber tree)
Lineage: Eukaryota; Viridiplantae; Streptophyta; Magnoliopsida; Malpighiales; Euphorbiaceae
Source: RNAcentral
ACAACAUCCAAUUAUAUAAUUAGAAAAAAAACAAUGGCCACAUUGACUUGCUCUUCCUUAAAAAAUUCAGCUUUUGUUCUAAUAUUGGUAUAUGCCUUGACCUUUUCAUUAUCACUAGUAAGUGCACGACCCGCCACUUUUUUACAGGAUUUUAAAAUCGCUUGGUCCGACUCUCACAUCAAACAACUCGAUGGCGGCAGGGGAAUUCAACUUAUUCUCGAUCAAAACUCAGGAUGUGGAUUUGCUUCGAGAAGCAAAUACCUGUUUGGACGUGUUAGCAUGAAGAUCAAGCUCGUUCCAGGUGACUCUGCAGGAACUGUUACCGCCUUUUACAUGAAUUCGGACACAGAUAACGUAAGAGACGAACUUGACUUCGAAUUCUUGGGAAACCGGACAGGGCAGCCGUACACUGUUCAAACGAAUGUUUAUGUCCACGGAAAAGGUGACAAGGAACAAAGGGUUAACCUUUGGUUCGAUCCAUCCGCUGAUUUUCACACAUACACCAUUUUUUGGAACCAUCAUCAAGCCGUGUUCUCAGUGGAUGGAAUACCCAUUAGAGUGUACAAGAACAACGAAGCAAAAGGAAUCCCAUUCCCCAAAUUUCAACCCAUGGGUGUCUACUCAACAUUGUGGGAAGCUGACGACUGGGCUACAAGAGGUGGCUUAGAGAAAAUAAAUUGGAGCAAAUCCCCAUUUUACGCAUACUACAAGGAUUUUGACAUUGAAGGAUGUGCAAUGCCAGGACCAGCAAAUUGUGCCUCCAACCCAAGUAAUUGGUGGGAAGGACCUGCUUAUCAACAACUGAGCCCAGUACAAGCAAGGCAAUAUCGUUGGGGGAACGGGGUUUCUCGAUUUGUCUGUGCAAUAAUCAUAGAUCAUGUGAUUCAUUCGAACCC